GACGCUGGCGGUAGGCCUAACACAUGCAAGUCGAACGGUAACGGACCGCUGGGAUUCCUUCGGGAUGACCUUGGUGCCGACGAGUGGCGGACGGGUGAGUAACACGUAGGAAUCUGCCAAACAGUGGGGGACAACCCGGAGAAAUCCGGGCUAAUACCGCAUACGCCCUACGGGGGAAAGCGGGGGACCUUCGGGCCUCGCGCUGUUUGAGGAGCCUGCGUCGGAUUAGCUUGUUGGUGAGGUAAAGGCUCACCAAGGCGACGAUCCGUAGCUGGUCUGAGAGGAUGAUCAGCCACACUGGGACUGAGACACGGCCCAGACUCCUACGGGAGGCAGCAGUGGGGAAUAUUGCACAAUGGGCGAAAGCCUGAUGCAGCUAUACCGCGUGGGUGAAGAAGGCCUUAGGGUUGUAAAGCCCUUUCAGCAGGGAAGAAAGGUACGGAGUUAAUAACUCCGUAAUUUGACGGUACCUGAAUAAGAAGCACCGGCUAACUCCGUGCCAGCAGCCGCGGUAAUACGGAGGGUGCAAGCGUUAAUCGGAAUUACUGGGCGUAAAGCGCGCGUAGGCGGUCUAGUCAGUCAGAUGUGAAAGCCCCGGGCUCAACCUGGGAAUUGCAUUUGAAACUGCUGGACUAGAGUGUGGUAGAGGGAAGUGGAAUUCCGAGUGUAGCGGUGAAAUGCGUAGAGAUUCGGAGGAACAUCAGUGGCGAAGGCGACUUCCUGGACCAACACUGACGCUGAGGUGCGAAAGCGUGGGGAGCAAACAGUAUUAGAUACCCUGGUAGUCCACGCCGUAAACGAUGUCUACUAGCCGUCGGGGAGCUUGACUCCUUGGUGGCGCAGCUAACGCGAUAAGUAGACCGCCUGGGGAGUACGGCCGCAAGGCU
RNAcentral lists this ribosomal RNA (887 nucleotides) under gamma proteobacterium SCGC AAA240-O06. Its description in RNAcentral is "SSU rRNA". It matches the Rfam family "Bacterial small subunit ribosomal RNA", at positions 32 to 895 of the family's 1533-position model. Lineage: Bacteria; Pseudomonadati; Pseudomonadota; Gammaproteobacteria. The record is from RNAcentral.